RNAcentral lists this long non-coding RNA (2424 nucleotides) under Olea europaea subsp. europaea. Lineage: Eukaryota; Viridiplantae; Streptophyta; Magnoliopsida; Lamiales; Oleaceae. The record is from RNAcentral.
GAAGAUUUUUUAUGAAACUUUUGGAUCAAAAGAUCAAGAAAACCUUCUGGACACAAGAACAUAAGGAAUUGAAAAAAAUUUAGAAAACAAAGGAUAUAACCCGAUUAAAUUGGAGUCAAAGCUCUGAUCCAACUGAUGCAAACCCCUUAGCAAUGGAAACUACGAAACCCACAACAAGAUUGAUGCGGAACCCAAGAACGCCAAUACUAACCCGAUUUUGGAUCUUGAACCCCAAGAAUUGAACCAAGAAACCCUAUAUUAGCGAAGAAUCUAAAACCCCUUGAUUACAAUUAAAAGAACCCACAAUCCGAUUUACUAGAACGCCACAAGAGUUGAAUCUUGAUAAGUUCCAAGAUUGUUCAAGAAGAACAAGAAAUUGAAAGAAUAAUUCUCUCUCUAUAAUAUUAAGCAAAAGUCAAAAGUUCAAAAGUUGUUACAAUGAAAAGUAUUCUCCUAUUUAUACUAAGGAGUAAAAACGUCCAAAAUCCAUCAAAUUAUGGUAAUAAUUUGAUUCAUAAGAAUUCUAUCGAAACUAGGAAAUUCGGCCAAAAUUAGAAAAUUCACCAAUUUUUUUGGCUUGUGCGGCCGCAUGGUGUAAAUCCACGCGGUCGCAUGGUUCAAUAGGAAUUAGUCUUUUGGUUUUCGGUAUGCAUGUGUGCGGCCGCAUGUGGUUUUGCCUGUGCGGCCGCAUGGUGUUGUUUUCAGCCUCCGCUUUCGUCGCUUGAUAACAAAUUGAUCCAAAUUGAUUUGACUUUCGACCCGAACAUGAAAGUUGCUCCAUUUUGAGUCCCGAACAUGGUUCCAUCAAUGGUUUCUUGAACGAGCAAUCCCAUCGCUUGUUUCACUUACUUUGCCCUUGAUCGCGUCAUUGGUCCGCCAUCGACUAUCAACGGAGUCUCGUCUCGCACUUGCCUUCGUAUGGCUCGACUCCUGGAUCAUAUCAUUCUCCAAGUUACAAAAUUUCCCCAUACAAAGGUACAAUAGCCUGUAGUUGAUCUUCUAUCUUCUAUUGAACCAGCUAAUCUGCAUCAGCAAAGAUUUCUACCUUUUUCUUUUCAUUUUUCUUAAAGAAAAGUCCUUUUCCAGGAGUUCCUUUAAGAUAUCUAAGAAUUUUGUAUACUGCUUCUAGAUGAAUUUCCUUUGGAGAGUGCAUAUAUUGACUAACCACACUAAUCUCAAAUGCAAUAUCAGGUCUAGUGUGUGAGAGAUAGAUCAAUUUGCCAACUAAUCGCUAGUAUCUAUCCUUUUCAAUUGAUUCUCCAGUGUUUUCUUCCUUCCUUCCGGUCUCUAUUGGUGGGUCACUUGGUUUGCGACCAAGUAUGCCAGUUUCCGUUAGAAGAUAAAGAAUGUACUUUCAUUGUGAAACACUGAUGCCUUUCUUUGAUCUGGCAACCUCCAUUCCCAAAAAGUACCUCAUCUGUCCCAAGUCUUUCACUUUGAACUCCAGGGCUAGGCUCUUCUUAAGCCUUUCUAUUUCCACUAUAUUAUCUCCAGUUAAAAUGAUGUCAUCAACAUAAACAAUUAAGAUUGUUUUCAUCCUUGUUUUAGAUAAUUGGUAGAAUAUUGUAUGGUCUGACUACCCUCGUUGAUAUCCUUGACUUCUCAAUACUUUUGCGAAUCUGUCGAACCAUGCUCUUGGUGAUUGUUUGAGACCGUACAAGGAUUUUUUGAGUUUACAUACCUUAUUUUCUUCCUCGCUUUCAUAGAAGCUUGGGGGUAAUGUCAUAAAAACCUCUUCUUCUAAUUCUCCAUUUAAGAAGGCAUUCUUGAUGUCUAACUGUUGGAGAGGCCAAUCCAAAUUUGCAGCUAAGGAUAAGAUAACUCGGAUUGUAUUCAAUUUUGCUACAGGGGUGAAUGUUUCUGUGUAGUCAAUGCCGUAGGUCUGUGUGUAUCCCUUUGCAACAAGAUGAGCCUUGUAUCGUUCUAUUAUCCCAUUUGAUUUGUACUUCACAUUAAAGACCCAUUUGCACUCGACGGGUCCUUUCUCCCUUGGUAAGUUUACCAUAUCCCAAGUUUUGUUUUUUUCAGUGCUCGCAUUUCUUCCAAAACUGCUUCUUUCCAUUUGGGAGUAGCCAUGGCCUCCUGAAUGUUCUUUGGAAUUUCUGUAUUAUCAAGGUUAUAAGAGAAAGUGCGAAAUCCUGCAGAUAGAGUGUUAUAUAAAACAAAUUUUGAGAUAGGGUGUAGAGUACAUGACCGAGGUUGUUUUCGGAGAGCAAUAGGUAGAUCACUUUCUGGAGCUAUCAUCGGUUCGAACUCUUUUGGUGCUUCAAAUGUGAGGUUCUCCUUAUACAUUGAUUUCGACUUUCUUGAGUAAACUAAUAUCUCCUUGCUAACUUGUUUUUCAGCAUCUCCCAUUGAGUUUAAGUUUAUCUUUGUAGAUGGCAUGUUAGGACUAGGACCAGGAAGAGUAAUUGAUUCGGAUUC